This 1745-nucleotide long non-coding RNA is filed under the name Pan troglodytes (chimpanzee). Its description in RNAcentral is "lincRNA". Lineage: Eukaryota; Metazoa; Chordata; Mammalia; Primates; Hominidae. The record is from RNAcentral.
CCUCACAAGAUCCAGACCCCACAAGAUCCAGACCUCGGCUAUCUGGCUUCUCUUUUUUUUGCGACAGAGUCUCAAUCUGUCCCCCAGGCUGGAGCGCAGUGGUGUGAUCUCAGCUCACUGCAACCUCUGCCUCCCAGGUUCAAGCAAUUCUCUUGCCUCAGCCUCCCGAGUAGCUGGGAUCACAGGUGUGCGCCAUGCCUGGCUAAUUUUUUUUUUUUUUUUUUUUGUAUUUUUAGUAGAGAUGGGGUUUCGCUAUGUUGGCCAAGCUGGUCUCAAACCCCUGACCUCAGGUGAUCCACCUGCCUCGACCUCUCAGAGUGCUGGGAUUACAGGCGUGAGCCACUGCACCCAGCCCCAUCUGACUUCUAUACCCGCAGCCCCUUCCUUUACCCUCAGGCUGCCUCAGUCUCCACACUGGGGCCCAGAGCUGGGCUGGACUCAGCGCAGUCAGAACCUCGCCUUGCACGUGGCGAAGGAGCGGCAGGCAGGCAGGCGAGCAGGACAGCCAGCUUCCUCCUAGUCCGCAGUUUCGGGGAGCAGCCUGGAAAGGGAGGCCCAGGCUUCCCUGUCUCGUCGCACGUGUGUCUGCAGUGUCUGCGCUAUCUCCCAGGGGCCUGGAUGUCGAUGGAAGGCCUGAGGGUGGAGAGAGCGGGGGCGCGAAGCAUUCCCAGGCCUGUGGCUGAGGCCCACCCUGGCGGCCUCAGCAUCUGUGGAGAUGUGUAGAGGCAGGGAGAGUGAAUGGGGACCAACCUCAGGAGAUGCUGGGUCCCAGAAGCACCAUGUGCUUCUCCUUUGGUGAGACUUAAUUACUCUCUAAAAUGUAAGGCUACUCCCACUUAUCAAAUUAUAGAUGAGUUUAAUUACAGCGCACUGAGUAACCACACUGGGCUCCUUCAGAAAUAGCAGCAGGCUGGUUGCUCUUCUCGGCUUCAGCUGUAGCCACCCCAGUUUCAGGAGGAAGUGCCCGUGGUUCCUGGGGCCUGGAAGUGCCGCUCAACUCUGCUGCCAGACAACAAGUGCGGGCGUGGUGGACUGCACUGGGUACACUGCUGUACCGGCCACCACCCUCCGGCCACUCUCAGCCGGUGAGUGCUCUGCGGGGCCGUCUGGCCACGUGUUCUGUGACUGGGUCAUUUACUCUGCUGCAACCUCUCUUUCUCCUACCUACAUCGUGUUCUGGACAAAGGUUUUGGCUCAUAAUGUCCAACCAGAGGUGGACAAAGUGGUGUGAGACCUGCCGUAAGAAACAGGGAGCAUGGCGCGGGGAGAGAAGCCUGUGCCUUAUGGAGACUCGGGGCACCUUCAGGAAGCAGGGUCAACGGCAGCAGGCCACUAGGGAGUGGGGAGAGCUCGGUGACGUCACGAGGGGCAUCAGACUCUUCCCUGCAGGCUGGCGGGACUGAUGGGCUCUCGUUCCGAUGGAGGUACACUGGGACUUCCGGGGCUGUGAUGGGAAGGGCGGAGGAGCUGCCGAUGGUCCCAGUGCCAUAUUAGUGUCAUUCUGAGGGGCAGCCCUGUGCCGGACGGCAGCUGCUACCUCUCCCUCUGCCCCUUUAUUACUUGAAUCUCUUCAUUGUGCCAGGCCCUGUCUAGGCACGGUCGUCUGACAGCAGGCAGCCCACUGCCCUCCCAGAGCUCACUGUCUAGCCCAGGGUGACACAGGGUAACCGUGGGCAUGACUUGGGCCGGGAAGUGAGAGGCUCGAUUCCAUCACAUGUAAAUAAAAAUACUCAUUUUCAAUCUAA